CAGGUUGAAGCGAGGGUAAAACCUCGUGGAGGACCGAACCACGUUGCUGUUGAAAAAGCAUGGGAUGAGCUGUGGAUAGCGGAGAAAUUCCAAUCGAACUCGGAUAUAGCUGGUUCUCCUCGAAAUAGCUUUAGGGCUAGCGUCGUGAAAUGUGAGUACUGGAGGUAGAGCACUGAAUAGGCUAGGGGGCAUAGCGCUUACCGAACCUUAUCAAACUCCGAAUGCCAGAUACUAUCAGCACGGCAGUCAGACUAUGAAAGAUAAGUUCCAUGGUCAAAAGGGAAACAGCCCAGAUCGUCAGCUAAGGUCCCAAAGUGUAAGUUAAGUGGAAAAGGAUGUGGGAUUUCUAAGACAACUAGGAUGUUGGCUUAGAAGCAGCCACUCAUUAAAAGAGUGCGUAAUAGCUCACUAGUCAAGAGAUCCUGCGCCGAAAAUGUCCGGGGCUCAAACUUACCACCGAAGCUACGGGUUCAUACUUUGUAUGAGCGGUAGAGGAGCGUCGUAAUCGGGCUGAAGUCGUACCGUAAGGAGCGGUGGACUGAUUACGAGUGAGAAUGUUGGCAUUAGUAGCGAGAUGUAGGUGAGAAUCCUACAGGCCGAAUAUCUAAGGUUUCCUGAGUAAAGUUUGUCUUCUCAGGGUUAGUCGGGACCUAAGGCGAGGCCGAGAGGCGUAGUCGAUGGACAAUUGGUUGAUAUUCCAAUACCACUAUAAUCGUUAUUAUCGAUGGUGUGACGGAGAAGGAUAGGAUGUGCCAGCUAUUGGAUGCUGGUCUAAGCGUUGAGGGAGUUAGAACAGGCAAAUCCGUUCUAACAAUCCUAGGGCGUGAUGGGGAAGGUUCUACGGAACCGAAGUAUCUGAUUUCAUGCUUCCAAGAAAAGCAUCUAGAAAGAGAAGUAGUGCCCGUACCGCAAACCGACACAGGUAGAUGAGGAGAGAAUCCUAAGGCCGACGGAAGAAUCACAGUUAAGGAACUAGGCAAAUUGACCCCGUAACUUCGGGAGAAGGGGUGCCUACCAUUUGGUAGGCCGCAGAGAAUAGGCACAAGCAACUGUUUAACAAAAACACAGGUCUCUGCUAAAGCGUAAGCUGAUGUAUAGGGGCUGACGCCUGCCCGGUGCUGGAAGGUUAAGGGGAACACUUAGCGCAAGCGAAGGUGUGAACUUAAGCCCCAGUAAACGGCGGCCGUAACUAUAACGGUCCUAAGGUAGCGAAAUUCCUUGUCAGGUAAGUUCUGACCCGCACGAAUGGCGUAAUGACUUG
This 1261-nucleotide ribosomal RNA is filed under the name Staphylococcus epidermidis. RNAcentral's name for it is "partial 23S ribosomal RNA". It matches the Rfam family "Bacterial large subunit ribosomal RNA", at positions 741 to 2011 of the family's 2925-position model. The record is from RNAcentral. Lineage: Bacteria; Bacillati; Bacillota; Bacilli; Caryophanales; Staphylococcaceae.